RNAcentral lists this ribosomal RNA (528 nucleotides) under uncultured bacterium. Its description in RNAcentral is "partial 16S ribosomal RNA". It matches the Rfam family "Bacterial small subunit ribosomal RNA", at positions 355 to 874 of the family's 1533-position model. The record is from RNAcentral.
UGGGGAAUAUUGCACAAUGGGCGCAAGCCUGAUGCAGCCAUGCCGCGUGUGUGAAGAAGGCCUUCGGGUUGUAAAGCACUUUCAGCGAGGAGGAAGGUGGUGAACUUAAUACGUUCAUCAAUUGACGUUACUCGCAGAAGAAGCACCGGCUAACUCCGUGCCAGCAGCCGCGGUAAUACGGAGGGUGCAAGCGUUAAUCGGAAUUACUGGGCGUAAAGCGCACGCAGGCGGUUUGUUAAGUCAGAUGUGAAAUCCCCGGGCUCAACCUGGGAACUGCAUUUGAAACUGGCAAGCUAGAGUCUCGUAGAGGGGGGUAGAAUUCCAGGUGUAGCGGUGAAAUGCGUAGAGAUCUGGAGGAAUACCGGUGGCGAAGGCGGCCCCCUGGACGAAGACUGACGCUCAGGUGCGAAAGCGCGGGGAGCAAACAGGAUUAGAUACCCUGGUAGUCCACGCUGUAAACGAUGUCGAUUUUGGAGGUUGUGCCCUUGAGGCGUGGCUUCCGGAGCUAACGCGUUAAAUCGACCGCCU